CGACUCCAUGAAGUCGGAAUCGCUAGUAAUCGUGAAUCAGAAUGUCACGGUGAAUACGUUCCCGGGCCUUGUACACACCGCCCGUCACACCAUGGGAGUGGGCUGCACCAGAAGUAGAUAGCUUAACCUUCGGGAGGGCGUUUACCACGGUGUGGUUCAUGACUGGGGUGAAGUCGUAACAAGGUAGCCCUAGGGGAACCUGGGGCUGGAUCACCUCCUUACCUAA
Molecule: ribosomal RNA, 226 nt
Filed under: Photobacterium angustum S14
Lineage: Bacteria; Pseudomonadati; Pseudomonadota; Gammaproteobacteria; Vibrionales; Vibrionaceae
Description: partial 16S ribosomal RNA
Rfam family: Bacterial small subunit ribosomal RNA
Source: RNAcentral